Molecule: long non-coding RNA, 310 nt
Filed under: Carica papaya (papaya)
Lineage: Eukaryota; Viridiplantae; Streptophyta; Magnoliopsida; Brassicales; Caricaceae
Description: long non-coding RNA (CPAP_LNC006155)
Source: RNAcentral
GUAGUCUUUUUCUGGGUUGUUGGGGUUGGUGUUACUGUUGCUAGAUAUGGACUCGAGUGAUGGGUUGAUGCCAAGCCAAGAUUAGAUCUUUGGCCAACUAUGUAUAUUCUAGCACCUUGACAUACGAGCUGGGUUUUAACAUCACAAUGCAGUCAUAGAUAUUGGCACGAAGACCCUUAAGAAACUUCCUAACCUUACAACUCUCAGGGAUGACCAUUAGCGGGGCAAGCCUAGACAUCUGGAUGAAUCGUGCUGUAUACUAGGCAAUUGUCAAAUUUUCCUGGCAGAGGGUCCUAAAAUUCCUCCUCCU